UUUUCAGAGCCAAGACUCAUCUCUUUUUGGAUUUUCUAAUGCCCUUCAUAGCAACAUCUUAAUAUAUUUAUAUUUGCCUGGCAUAUAUUUUUUAAUGGGAAGGAAACUGUAAAGUUUAUUUUUAACUAACUGGUUGAAUGCAAAAAAUAGACUUUGCCCUUGGAUAGUCCUUGUUUGUAGUGUGGGUAUCAGGAGAAUGAGGCAAGCCAAGCUGUGAGGAGUCUGUGGGUCAUGGUUUUGGCAGCGUGGAACCUGGGACAUAGAGUCCCCCUUGAUACGGCUGUUCGGCAGACCAACUUUGUUGUAAAUAUUUAGAUAAAAAUGGGCUUUAGAGCAGCCACAUCUGAAGACCCACAAGGCUGAAUGUUACACAGGGAGGAACAGCUCUGCUUGUGGCCAACCCACAGUCCCCUGACCCAGGACCAAUUUGAGGCCAUCACUUCCUGCCUUGUUCUGGUUUACCUGGUGAUAUCACA
Pan paniscus (pygmy chimpanzee) is the source of this 476-nucleotide long non-coding RNA. The record is from Ensembl. NCBI's taxonomy places the organism in Eukaryota, Metazoa, Chordata, Mammalia, Primates, Hominidae.